AGUGAACGCUGGCGGUAUGCCUAACACAUGCAAGUCGAACGGGAGCACAGUAAGAGCUUGCUCUUACGUGUGGCGAGUGUCGGACGGUUGAGGAAUACAUCGGAUUCUACCUUUUCGUGGGGGAUAAUGUAGGGUAACUUACUCUAAUACCACAUUCGUCCUACUUGUGUAGGCCGGCGUUCUUUUAACCUGUGGCUAUUGAAUAAGCCUAUGUUGGAUUAGCUAGUUGGCUGGUUAAAGGCCCACCAAGGCGACAAUCCGUAGCUGGUCUGGGAGGAUGAUCAGCCACACUGGGACUGAGACACGACCCAGACUCCUGCGGGAUGCAGCAGUGGGGAAUAUUGGACAAUGGGCGAAAGCCUGAUCCAGCAAUGCCGCGUGAGUGAUGAAGGCCUUAGAGUUGUAAAGCUCUUUUACCCGAGAUGAUAAUGACAGUACCGGGAGAAUAAGCACCGGCUAACUCCGUG
RNAcentral lists this ribosomal RNA (467 nucleotides) under uncultured bacterium. Its description in RNAcentral is "partial 16S ribosomal RNA". It matches the Rfam family "Bacterial small subunit ribosomal RNA", at positions 29 to 507 of the family's 1533-position model. The record is from RNAcentral.